GUGCCAGCCGCCGCGGUAAGACGAGCCUCACAAACGUUAUUCGGAAUUACUGGGCUUAAAGGGUGCGUAGGCGGCGCGGAAAGUUGGGUGUGAAAUCCCUCGGCUCAACCGAGGAAUUGCGCUCAAAACUACCGUGCUAGAGGGAGAUAGAGGAAUGCGGAACUUAGGGUGGAGCGGUGAAAUGCGUUGAUAUCCUAGGGAACACCGGUGGCGAAAGCGGCAUUCUGGAUCUCAUCUGACGCUGAUGCACGAAAGCUAGGGUAGCGAACGGGAUUAGAUACCCCGGUAGUCC
RNAcentral lists this ribosomal RNA (292 nucleotides) under uncultured bacterium. RNAcentral describes it as "partial 16S ribosomal RNA". It matches the Rfam family "Bacterial small subunit ribosomal RNA", at positions 505 to 796 of the family's 1533-position model. The record is from RNAcentral.